CACCAUGUAAGAAGUCCCCGGAUCGGCAGAGGAUGACCAACGGGUCCUUGACUCUGCCGAUCAGAUCCGGCGCCGAGCGGUCGCAGCUAUCGAUGCCCUUCUGGGUGACCUGUAAAAGUACUGACAGCUCUUGUACAAUCAUUUAAUGCCCCUUUUGACCGUCCUUUGCGGCGCACCCUUUAUUUAUUACCUUUUUUUAUUUCCGAUGGGACGCAUCUUACCAAACAUCUACGCCUCCCUUUCUUAUAAAUACCGGCCUAGGCCCCCGUUUCGAGAGUACCAGUCUAGCUCGGCUUCAUCUUCCCAACCUGCUUUCGUCGGUGCACCUUUCAGUCAUGUCUUCUUCAUCCUCUUCCUCUUCCUCUGUUAACCAGGUGAAAGUUCUGCCUUCAUCCUUUUUCUCAGUUUAGAUCUUCUGAAGGGAAUCACCUUUUUGAUCGUCACUUUCUACAGCUACGGCGCCUUAGCCCUGAACUCGAACGAGCCAUCGCACUCAUGCACUCCGAUGAACCGUUGUCGCAAGAGGACAAGGACUUAAUCAGGGCUCAUCGUGACGAACUCCAAGAGCAUGUCCCCGCUGACAUCCGACGGAUCUGGGAUUUUCUGGAUGGCAACGCCCGCCGGCGACCUCAAGCCGACAGAAGCCAUCUGCUUCCUCAACAAGUCGC
RNAcentral lists this long non-coding RNA (668 nucleotides) under Setaria italica (foxtail millet). RNAcentral describes it as "long non-coding RNA (SITA_LNC002114)". The record is from RNAcentral. Lineage: Eukaryota; Viridiplantae; Streptophyta; Magnoliopsida; Poales; Poaceae.